RNAcentral lists this long non-coding RNA (358 nucleotides) under Homo sapiens (human). RNAcentral's name for it is "HSALNT0296267". The record is from RNAcentral. Lineage: Eukaryota; Metazoa; Chordata; Mammalia; Primates; Hominidae.
UACAAGCAGCAUCUCUGCCCAGAGGCCCAGACAAUGUUCCCCACUACCAAUUUUCAGAAGCUGAUGACAUCCGCAUGAGGUAAAAUGCCACCAAAAUAAUGUGCCAAGCUCUGGGCCAAGCUCUGGGUAUACAAAAGCAAUGAAGACACAGUCACCGAUCUCAAAGAGCUCACAGUCUAGAGAUGAAGACAGCACAUAAAUAGUAAUUACAAGAUGGAGCAGGAGGUUAGCAGAGCCUGUGCCUUCAGCUGCGAUGGGAAGGUGUUAAGUUGUUCUGCUUGGUCAAGUCCUAUGAAGAAGCCCAGGAUCCCAAGAUUACCAGCCUGUUAAACAAGCUGAUGGUGCUGUUCCUGCCACC